RNAcentral lists this ribosomal RNA (163 nucleotides) under Peplidium aithocheilum. RNAcentral describes it as "5.8S ribosomal RNA". It matches the Rfam family "5.8S ribosomal RNA". Rfam says of the family: 5.8S ribosomal RNA (5.8S rRNA) is a component of the large subunit of the eukaryotic ribosome. It is transcribed by RNA polymerase I as part of the 45S precursor that also contains 18S and 28S rRNA. Functionally, it is thought that 5.8S rRNA may be involved in ribosome translocation. Lineage: Eukaryota; Viridiplantae; Streptophyta; Magnoliopsida; Lamiales; Phrymaceae. The record is from RNAcentral.
AAACGACUCUGGCAACGGAUAUCUCGGCUCUCGCAUCGAUGAAGAACGUAGCGAAAUGCGAUACUUGGUGUGAAUUGCAGAAUCCCGUGAACCAUCGAGUCUUUGAACGCAAGUUGCGCCCGAAGCCUUUAGGCCAAGGGCACGUCUGCCUGGGCGUCACGCA